UCCCCCUCACCCCUCUUGGUCGUGGCUGCAGCGUUGCUGGCACCUAUUGGCCAAGCUGUAGUCCCCUAUCCCCAGAGACGCCCCCAACCUCAGCCGAUCCUCACUCCUUCCCACAGGAGCAGCAGCAGCAGUUGGCCGGGCCCUUCCUCGCUGCCGCCGCCGCCACCACCAUGGCCACUUGUUCCCCAUAGGCCCUGAAAGGCCCAGGCCCAUCCCUUGCCUGCCUCCCUCCGCCGAUGACCUCAGUAGCCCCAAACAGCAGCAGUGGUUGACUGGGCCCUUCCUUGCUGCCAGUAGGCACCGCCAUGGCUGCUCAUUUCCCUCAGGCUGCUGAGAGGCUUGGGCCUGUCCCUCGCCCUUCCUUCUUUCCUCUCUCUCUCUCUCUCUCUCUUUUUCUGAGUUAACAGAUAUUGUUCAUCUUUUUUCCUCAUCUAAUUCACACAAUGACAGCCUCCUUCUCCUGAAGGGGCUCUUUCCUCCCUCACGACCCUUCUCUUCACAGACCCCUGCUAACUAUCUUUAUAUAUAGAGAUAGAUAUAGAGUCCUCUUCUCUACAAUCUGACCAGUAACAGUUGCAAUCCAACUGUCCUUAACCAUCACAGGCUCCUCCUCCCUAUCUGCAUAUGGAAUCUCCACUGCCCAGUCACCAGAACUUCUGCUUGUGAACUCUUGUAAGAGCUGCCAUGGGAAGACCCUUAAGGCUCUCCUCACAGGCUUUUAAUUAGAAUUAAUGGUGAUUGAGCUGGUCCUCCAGAGUCCCGUGCAUCUCUAUGGAGAUGCGGCCAAUCUCCUGCAUGAACCCGAAGGAGAUGGGCAGAUGAAUGACAAGUUUCAACAUGUAGAGCAUUUGCCUGCAACUGUUGCCCAAUAGGGCUAAAAUGCUUUAACCACAGGCCUUGAAAUCUCAAGAGAAUAAAGCCUUCCUUACAGACUUUUCAAAGACGAAAUAAACAAAACAGGCAGAAUCCACUGCAGCUCUACUGGUUGAAGACCCGUCCUACUGUGUUUAUGGGCUUCUGGAAUAAAAUUUCAUUUUCUUUUUA
Long non-coding RNA from Hemicordylus capensis (graceful crag lizard), 1044 nucleotides. RefSeq lists it as uncharacterized. The record is from RefSeq and is a predicted model, not a curated record. The transcript has 3 exons. Lineage: Eukaryota; Metazoa; Chordata; Lepidosauria; Squamata; Cordylidae.